CCCGUCCAGCUGAUGCGUGGUUUAGGUAGUUUGAUGUUGUUGGGGUUGACUUCCUGGCUCGACAACAAGAAACUGCCUUGAUUACGUCAGUUUGCCUUCAUCAAGGCCGU
This 110-nucleotide microRNA precursor is filed under the name Danio rerio (zebrafish). RNAcentral's name for it is "microRNA dre-mir-196c precursor". Its record names the gene dre-mir-196c. The stretch from base 14 to 88 matches the Rfam family "mir-196 microRNA precursor family". Rfam says of the family: In many species the miRNA appears to be expressed from intergenic regions in HOX gene clusters. The hairpin precursors (represented here) are predicted based on base pairing and cross-species conservation -- their extents are not known. The record is from miRBase by way of RNAcentral. Lineage: Eukaryota; Metazoa; Chordata; Actinopteri; Cypriniformes; Danionidae.